RNAcentral lists this ribosomal RNA (252 nucleotides) under uncultured bacterium. RNAcentral describes it as "partial 16S ribosomal RNA". It matches the Rfam family "Bacterial small subunit ribosomal RNA", at positions 524 to 776 of the family's 1533-position model. The record is from RNAcentral.
UACGUAGGGGGCUAGCGUUGUCCGGAAUCAUUGGGCGUAAAGAGCGUGUAGGCGGCCCGGUAAGUCCGCUGUGAAAGUCGGGGCUCAACCCUCGAAUGCCGGUGGAUACUGUCGGGCUAGAGUGCGGAAGAGGCGAGUGGAAUUCCUGGUGUAGCGGUGAAAUGCGCAGAUAUCAGGAGGAACACCAGUUGCGAAGGCGGCCGACUGGACACAUAUUGACGCUGAGGCUCGAAAGCAUGGGGAGCAAACAGG